Long non-coding RNA from Meriones unguiculatus (Mongolian gerbil), 1025 nucleotides. RefSeq lists it as uncharacterized. NCBI's taxonomy places the organism in Eukaryota, Metazoa, Chordata, Mammalia, Rodentia, Muridae. The record is from RefSeq and is a predicted model, not a curated record. The transcript is spliced from 3 exons.
ACAGCCUUGCUCCCUCUGCUCAGGAUGUUUUGGAGUCACGCCUGCAAGCAGCCCACUUCGAGCCUAUGGUGCCAUUUCCCCUCCUCUCUCCCGAAAAUGAUAUGGGAAGAAAAUGAAGAGACGAAGAUUAUGUCCUAGAAAUCUUGUCACACGGGAAUGGACUCAACAGACCCUCCUUCCUUUAUCUACCAGAUGUUGUCCUUGUGGUUGCCUCGUUCUUCUAGAACCCAUGUCACGAUGCAUCAAGUGUCACUUGAAAGAGAAGAUGAAACUGCAUUUGAAAUGGCAUUGAGAUUCAUCCCUGGACCCCAGGACGUGACAGACAGUUACCCCACACCACCACAUAUGACAUGGCUGUGAGACUCAUCCUGAAACCACAGGAAGUGACAGAGAGUGACCCCAGACUCCCACAUAUAAGUGAAUUAUGAAUUGUACACUUAUGCAUGACUGAAGCAGAUAUGUUCUAGCAUUUUUUUUGUUUCCAUGACGCCUUUCCAAGAGGGGCCUUUCCUAGUUGAGUGCUUUGUGGUGUCUAGUUUAUCAGAGAGAUUUCCUUCCUUCCUUCCUUCCUUCCUUCCUUCCUUCCUUCCUUCCUUCCUUCCUUCCUUCCUUCCUUCCUUCCUUUUUUUCCUCCCUUUCUCCCUUUCUCUCUCUCUGUCUGUCUUUCACUCUCACUCUCUAUCUCUUGCCUUGAGCACAUAGUCUCCACAAUCCUUCUACCUCGGCUCUAGAGUAUUUAAACUAUAGUCAUGUAUAUAUCACCAUGCUAGGCCACGAAGGAGAUUUUGAUUAAACAACAACAGCCUCAAUAAGAGAGGAAGCCAAGCAGAAAAAGCAAUUUGGCUUUGUAGCCUGACUACUGAGGCACACAGUUUCCCGUUUGGAAGUUGUGCCUGUUCCUCAUUGUUUCAGUGACGUUAGACUUCUGAAUUUGGACCCCUUGUUUUCAAAUUUCCAAGGAUGGCAGAUAGCAUGGGGGGCAGCUCCAAUGUAACAUCCUAAAUUCAAUAAACACAGUUAUAUUU